GACGAACGCUGGCGGCGUGCUUAACACAUGCAAGUCGAACGGUAAGGCCCUUCGGGGUACACGAGUGGCGAACGGGUGAGUAACACGUGGGUGAUCUGCCCUGCACUUCGGGAUAAGCCUGGGAAACUGGGUCUAAUACCGGAUAGGACCACUGCCUGCAUGGGUGGUGGGGGAAAGCUUUUGCGGUGUGGGAGGGGCCCGCGGCCUAUCAGCUUGUUGGUGGGGUGAUGGCCUACCAAGGCGACGACGGGUAGCCGGCCUGAGAGGGUGACCGGCCACACUGGGACUGAGAUACGGCCCAGACUCCUACGGGAGGCAGCAGUGGGGAAUAUUGCACAAUGGGCGCAAGCCUGAUGCAGCGACGCCGCGUGAGGGAUGACGGCCUUCGGGUUGUAAACCUCUUUCAGCACCGACGAAGCGCAAGUGACGGUAGGUGCAGAAGAAGGACCGGCCAACUACGUGCCAGCCGCCGCAGUAA
RNAcentral lists this ribosomal RNA (478 nucleotides) under uncultured bacterium. Its description in RNAcentral is "partial 16S ribosomal RNA". It matches the Rfam family "Bacterial small subunit ribosomal RNA", at positions 28 to 523 of the family's 1533-position model. The record is from RNAcentral.